RNAcentral lists this long non-coding RNA (286 nucleotides) under Homo sapiens (human). RNAcentral's name for it is "HSALNT0355216". The record is from RNAcentral. Lineage: Eukaryota; Metazoa; Chordata; Mammalia; Primates; Hominidae.
AGAGCUGAAUUGGAGGACCAGAAAGAAGGCCAGCGUGAGUGGAGUCCCAAGGGAGGAGACAGAGAAGUGGCCAGGGCCAGCCCAGCCUGGAUGGCAAAAGCGACAGACCCUCCCUCAGAGGGACAAGGAUGAGACGGCCGAACCAGUGCUCCUGCCCGGGCUCCACAGGCCCCUUUCCUCGCUGGCCCCACUGGAGAGGCAGGGGUUAAGCUCCAUGGCCUGUCCCCUCUGUCACACAUGUACCCUGCCAUCUCUGGGCUCAACUGUCGCUGCGCUGUAUCGGGAC